UAAUAUAAAGUCUGGCCUGCCCAAUGAUUGUAAAAGAUUGAAUGGCUGCGGUACUCUGACCGUACUAAGGUAGCAUAAUAAUUAGUUUUUUAAUUGAAAGCUGGUAUGAAUGGUCGGACGAGGGAAUAACUGUCUCAAUUUAAUUUUAAUUAGAAUUUUAUCUUUAAGUAAAAAAGCUUAAAUGAUUUUAAAAGACGAGAAGACCCUAUAGAGUUUUAUAUUUUUAUUUAAUUAUAAGUUUUAAGAAUUAAAUAUUUAAAUUAUAUGAAAAUAUUUUGUUGGGGGGACAAAAAAAUUUAAAGAACUUUUUUUAAAUAAAAUCAUUGAUUUAUGAAUAAGUGAUCCAUU
RNAcentral lists this ribosomal RNA (348 nucleotides) under Omorgus freyi. RNAcentral describes it as "partial 16S ribosomal RNA". The stretch from base 1 to 181 matches the Rfam family "Archaeal large subunit ribosomal RNA", at positions 1933 to 2143 of the family's 2987-position model. Lineage: Eukaryota; Metazoa; Arthropoda; Insecta; Coleoptera; Trogidae. The record is from RNAcentral.